UAUUCAAGGUCAGAGGUCACAAAAAUCG
RNAcentral lists this small RNA (28 nucleotides) under Bombyx mori (domestic silkworm). RNAcentral describes it as "ovarian small RNA-24141". Lineage: Eukaryota; Metazoa; Arthropoda; Insecta; Lepidoptera; Bombycidae. The record is from RNAcentral.